GUGCAUGCUUCACCAGCACAUAUAAUGAAAUUGGAACAACACAGAGAUUAGUAUGGCCCCUGAACAAGGAUGACAUGCUAAUUCAUGAAUUGUUUCAUAUUUUU
Oryctolagus cuniculus (rabbit) is the source of this 104-nucleotide small nuclear RNA. The record is from Ensembl. Lineage: Eukaryota; Metazoa; Chordata; Mammalia; Lagomorpha; Leporidae.